Molecule: transfer RNA, 57 nt
Filed under: Mus musculus (house mouse)
Lineage: Eukaryota; Metazoa; Chordata; Mammalia; Rodentia; Muridae
Also listed under: 1 other name
Rfam family: tRNA
About the family: Transfer RNA (tRNA) molecules are approximately 80 nucleotides in length. Their secondary structure includes four short double-helical elements and three loops (D, anti-codon, and T loops). Further hydrogen bonds mediate the characteristic L-shaped molecular structure. tRNAs have two regions of fundamental functional importance: the anti-codon, which is responsible for specific mRNA codon recognition, and the 3' end, to which the tRNAs corresponding amino acid is attached (by aminoacyl-tRNA synthetases). tRNAs cope with the degeneracy of the genetic code in two manners: having more than one tRNA (with a specific anti-codon) for a particular amino acid; and 'wobble' base-pairing, i.e. permitting non-standard base-pairing at the 3rd anti-codon position.
Source: Rfam by way of RNAcentral
UGGCUCAGUGGUAGAGUGAGUGUCUAGAAUGCACAGUGCCCUGGGUUCAAGUCCCAG